Molecule: non-coding RNA, 92 nt
Organism: Hymenopellis radicata
Lineage: Eukaryota; Fungi; Basidiomycota; Agaricomycetes; Agaricales; Physalacriaceae
Source: the annotation of a GenBank genome assembly
GCAUUAAUGGGGUAGUGGUAACCUGGGUCGUUGCCAUUCCCAAAUGGCCACAUUCAUUCGACCCGCCGGGGGUUCGAUUCCCCCUUAAUGCA